GAUGCCAGGGUCAAAAGGUAAAAUUCCGUUCAUGCUUGCAUGAUAAGGCAUUUUACCUUGGGACCCGCCAAACAUGAGGAAGCAGCGAUUUACGCAGUAAAUCAGCGGAUUUCGAAUGUUUGCAGAAUUGUGGGAGUUGCGAAGCAACGAAGCAAUCCGUGGCAUC
This 166-nucleotide small RNA is filed under the name Ruminococcus gauvreauii. RNAcentral's name for it is "Clostridiales-1 RNA". It matches the Rfam family "Clostridiales-1 RNA". Lineage: Bacteria; Bacillati; Bacillota; Clostridia; Eubacteriales; Oscillospiraceae. The record is from RNAcentral.